CUCGAUUUAAGUUAACUAGAAAAAUUUCAGAAUCCAUAUAACAGCUUGCCAUGAACAGAUAAGGAAGAAGAUAAUGACGUACCUCUCUAGAUAAGAUAGAAAAUAAUGAGCGUAUCUCGUUUGAUAAGAUAAGACUAAUAACAUGAUUCUUCUUCCUUCUCACAGCACCUCCGUCUUUACCUAUAAAUAAAGGGCUAAAAGGGAUCCUCAAGGUACGCACUCACUUCUCUCCAAUACUCGCUCAUUCCCCUCCAUUUCUUAAUUUUCUGAUUGAGCAUCGAAAAAUUCCCGUUGGAGC
This 298-nucleotide long non-coding RNA is filed under the name Elaeis guineensis (African oil palm). Its description in RNAcentral is "long non-coding RNA (EGUI_LNC036270)". The record is from RNAcentral. Lineage: Eukaryota; Viridiplantae; Streptophyta; Magnoliopsida; Arecales; Arecaceae.